This 335-nucleotide unclassified non-coding RNA is filed under the name soil metagenome. Its description in RNAcentral is "partial contains 5.8S ribosomal RNA, internal transcribed spacer 2, and large subunit ribosomal RNA". The stretch from base 1 to 120 matches the Rfam family "5.8S ribosomal RNA", at positions 35 to 154 of the family's 154-position model. The record is from RNAcentral.
GAUGAAGAACGCAGCGAAAUGCGAUAAGUAAUGCGAAUUGCAGAUUUCAGUGAGUCAUCGAAUCUUUGAACGCACAUUGCGCCCGCCAGUAUUCUGGCGGGCAUGCCUGUUCGAGCGUCAUUUCAACCAUCAAGCCCCCGGGCUUGCGUUGGGGCCCUGCGGCUGCCGCAGGCCCCGAAAAGCAGUGGCGGGCUCGCUGUCACACCGAGCGCAGUAGUUUACUCUUCGCUCAGGGCGUGUGGCGGGUGCUAGCCGUGAAACCCCCAACUUCUCAAGGUUGACCUCGGAUCAGGUAGGAAUACCCGCUGAACUUAAGCAUAUCAAUAAGCGGAGGA